Danio rerio (zebrafish) is the source of this 777-nucleotide non-coding RNA. Lineage: Eukaryota; Metazoa; Chordata; Actinopteri; Cypriniformes; Danionidae. The record is from RefSeq and is a predicted model, not a curated record.
GUAACAAACAAGUCUUGCAGAAAGUCCCUGUCUAGGUUGCAGCUGUGACGUGUGACUUUUCUAUACAGAAAGGAGAACUGGAGCAGAUGAGGAAAAUAUUGCUUUAUUGUCUUACUAAUCACUCUUUUCUUUUGAUAUAUAUUUGCUAUUGGAGGAAUAUACUCCCAUUUGCCUCACUAUUCAUAAUUUACAAUAUGUGUUUUUGUCAGAUAUGAUGAUGUCUCCUGAUAUAGCGUACUUCUACUUAACCCCUGUUAUAAUGUGUUUCUAACUAACUGCUAAAACCACAAGAGCUGUGUGUGGGUGCUGGCUGGAGACAGAUCUGCAAAAGUGCUUCCCCUAGAUGGGUGCAUACACAGGUCAAGAGUUCAUAGACAGGACUAGGAGGAAAAGCAGAUGUGGUAGAUGCAGCAUUUGUAUACUGCUCUCUGUUUGCUUGCUGCACCCCAGAUGUCAGUAGUGUCAAGUGUGUCAAGGAGAAGUGAUACUUUCACCUGCCCUUUUGUUUCUGUGUGCAGAGGUAUCUCUGUGUGCAGACCACAGACUUUUGAGAGAUGAUUCUGCCUGAAAACAGCUGAUGGCAACAAUAGAGAUUGGGGGUAACUGAUCAGAGGAGUGGCCAAAAAGAUUGAACGCUGCUGAUGGAUAAAAGGAGGGAGUCGAGAGAGUUCGAGAGCUUUUGGACAUCCAGACUGCUUGGCUGACGGUUCUUCAAAAGCCCAGGAUCCUGACCUUCGCUUUAUUCACUUAUGCUCAAUAAAUAAAUUAAUUGAUUUU